GAGCUCCGCGGUCCGGCCGAGAGGGCGGGAGCGGCCCGGGCAGGGCGCGGGCGUCACUGAGGUAAAGCGGCCGGGCCCGGGCCGAGGCGCUGCGAACGGGAUAGAGCUGCCGCCGUCCUAACUCCUGAGCAGGCAAUGGCGAUUUUAUUGCCUUAUUUAUUUAUUUAGGAUAGCUGUCUCACAGAGCUGUAGAGCUCUGUUGGUCCUGUUGAGAUUUACAGCCGGUUCUGGUCAGCAUCUGUCGUGACUGCUGAUCCUUGCUUCAUGGCGAGGGCUGGGGCUCCUUCGCACUACACCAGCACAGUAGUGACAUCCAGUUUAUAGUCUGCAUCAUUUAUCAGGCGUAACACAUGCAAAAGUCACAAUUACACACGCGUUUCACCCGUAUACAUUUGACCCCAGACCAAGAGCAGAUCCCAAGUCACCGAGUCAUUCUGCAUCUUACUGAGGAGAUUUAAGGGCACCAGCCUGCAUUACCGUAUUUGGACACCGGUUUCAUUUUUGCCGAAUUGCCUGUGGUGAAGAAACAUGAGCACUGAUGCAGCGACCUUUUACAAGAAAUUUCUGCCAAUCUUUAUAACCCUCAGUGACUACAGCGAUAGAAAAGAAUGUAUUCCUUUGAAUUCAGUGGGACUGUGCAAGGGUUCUCAAGACUGAUGGCUUCCAGGAGGCGGUGAGAGUGUGCAGUGAACCAUGAGCAUCCAGAGACUUGUGCCACGGGACUGAGAACUUGGUGUUUAUGGUUUCUUCUUUCUCUCCUUCUCCUCUUUUGGAUUAACCUGGGUCUGUUUUUACAUGCUUUCAAAUUAGGUUUUUGCCACCCAACACUACGGGGACAGGCAGCUUCUUUUAGGGACCCUUGGCAGAGUGAGGCCUGGCCACGGGGUUGAGGUUAUAAUUAUAAUUUAUAAUUACAAAAGUAGCAAUCAGCAUAGCUUAUUGUUAUUUACAAUUUUUAUUGAUCAGCAUAGCUUAUUGUUAUAAAGAAUUUCUAGUAAUUAGUGUAACUUUCUUGUUACCUAGAAUUAUUGGGCACCCUGACUUUUUAAUCACAUGGACCCUCUGCAGAUUGGGUUAAAUUCUUAAUAAUAAACUCAUGAUGCAAUAGUCACAAUCUAGACUCAGAAUUCAGCUAAAAGAACACGAGUCAUUUACUCAGUCCCCAGAAGAAGCAGACGAUCCUGGAGACAUCCCUGACCAGCAGGGGAUCACAGGUUUUACAGUCCACCAGCAGUUCCAGUCUCAGUCCUACUUGAGACGUGCAGCUUCUUGGAUUUAUAGGCAGCGUCUCACGUGCUGUAAUGCUUCUCUGUUCUGUAACGGGUGUCAUCACGUCUGGCAAUCCAGCGCCUUGGUGUUAACACUGAUGGACAAACGACCUCAUCACAAUGCCGACAGGAGGCUUCUCUGUUCUGUAACAGGGAUCACCACAUCCUGGUGACAACCCUGGUGGGCAAAUGUUUUUAUUACAAUGCCAAAAAGAAGGGGAGGAAGCCGGGGUAUUAGGUGACCAGUCACCUUACAUAUAAUAGACAUUUGCCUUACAAAAUGGCAUUGGUUAUGCUAACCCUAUUACCAGGUGUCUGGAGCAGGGGGUACUUGUCACAGUUUUACACCUUCCUUUUUCUUCACUGGCCUGCAACUACAUAUAGUGCAUUUUAUUUAUGUUAGAUACUUGUUCUCUGCUCUUGUUUUUACCCCUAAAUUAGUUUUGUCCAGCUCCAGGUCUGCAUUUUUUAACUGCCAAUUGGCAAGUUGUUUAUAGCCUUAGCACCUCCAGCGCCAGUCUGUGCCCCAUCCAUCUUAGCAUCCAUGCAUGUACUCCCCUCUGCUGCACCUGGUGUCUCAAGGUCGCUGCUAUCCUAACGGGCCUUUAUUACAAUUUCACAUUUUGUUAGAGUCAUAAAUAUAUAAUUCUACACAGAAUAACUUACUGUUAAUAGCUAUAUAAAAACUGUGGUUAUUACCAUACAAAGCAAAGUAAAACAAAUUAGCCAUAGUCUCCUGUCAUUAGAAAAAUUGUUACAGCAAAAUCAAGUAAGACCAAAACUCCAAGAUCAGCAAAUUCAGACAAAGUAAAGCUGAUAAGCCUCCAUCCAGAGGUUCUGUAAAAUCAGGACAAAGGACCGUUAGUAGCAAGUUAGUAGCAAGGACUACAAGGACCGCAAGGACUGUUAGUAGCAAUAGCAAUACUGUAUUACUGGGCUACAUGGUGUCAUAGAGGCCCCAAUGACACACAGAUUGCAGAAACAUGAAAUUAAGCUAGCUAUUGCACCAAAUCCAGAGAUUUUAAAAAACUAUGCUUUCAAGUGUGGAUGGAUAUCUCCAUAGUGAUUCUGUUUUCCAGAGCAAAGUUGGUCAAUUAAUACUAGCAGGAGAGAUUCAUGGACACUUGCUUAAGGCAUUCAGGUAAAAUGCUAAAGAUUCCCAGAUUACACAAAGAAAAAGAAGGGUCUGUUUAAUUUUAAUUAAGUACAGAUGGUUAUUACCUUGCAAUUCUGGACUAGUAUUUUUAUGUUGCAUACUGUAUGUAACAAUAGAGGUAAGGAUUUCCACAAAGGGCACAGGAAGGAAGCAGGAAUAGUGCUGACUCAAAAACGAACUAUUGCAAUCUCAACUCAUUGGUUUUAUAAGAGCAGUCCAUAGUCCAUGCAUGCUCAGCUCACACAAUCUGGGUGUGCACACUGCAAACAAGGUCAUAAAAACCUGACAGAACAGUCCCUGAUGAACUGGGAGGCCACGCUAGAAUAGCAUAAUGACUACUCCUUUCACAGUUUAUUUUAAGGAAGUGUGAAAUAUUAAACAUCUUACAGAAUAAAUAUUCUCCAAGUGUAGAACAGGAUAGUUAUUUGAGCUUCUGCCUAGUCAUAGAAUAAAGACUGUUUAAAGAAGUGUGCCAUGUCAUCUGUUUAACGCAUAUAUUCAUGUCAGAAAGUAAUGAGCAUUUGGCUUUGAAAAUAUAAUUUUAAUCAAUUUCUUCAUCAGUAUGGUCCAUCACGUUGUUCAGAAAUGGCUUCUUUCAGUAAAUGGAUCGUGAAUCAAUAGUAGAUAUAAAUAAAGCAGUACAAAGGGCACAUCAUUCAACAAGCUGCCAAUUGUUGUUGCAGAAGAUGGCAGAAAUCAGUAUCCCGAGAUGGAUACACUACAUCAGAAACUGGCAGAUAAUACACAAAGACACCACCUUUUAACAGAAACUCAGGAUUUCUUUUCUCCUAAGAACUACUGAAAUACACGUCAAAUUUCACGUGUUUUAUAUGAGACAUCGGUCCAAGAUGGAGUUUGGUCUGAAGUCUGUUUUUCACUAAACAUUUGCAAGCUCACCCCUCUUAGAAAUUGCAGAGUUCUUGAAAUAUAGAGAAUGAAUUGUCAGGCUGCCAAAGAUCUUUCUGGAGCCAAUAAAAAAAAAUAUCUGCAGGCUUUGUAUUAUACUUCAAAGGAUCAGUUAUUGAGAUAUACCAAUAACUGCAAUUCCUGUAAAGUGAAUAGUGGUGUUAGUCAGCAAUUUUUAGGAUUUGGCCCACAACAGAGAGAGGAAUAAAAACAGUUCUCUCAAGCAGACAAAUCAUAAAGAACUUGUAUUAGUUAUUCAUAUCAGGACAAUCUUAUUUAAAUGCCUCUAAGAAGAAUUUAGAAUACGAUUCGUGUUGUGUCUGUCAUAAACGUUAAUUAUUAAUGAAUAAAUACGUAAUCUGGGACCUAGCUAAUAUUUCCAGCCCAUUUAUGUGAAUAGAUGUUUUCAACUGUGAGAAUACCCAGUGCCAGGAACUGAACAUCCUUAGGUAUUUCAGAAUUACUAACUGUACACAUUAUAUUAAUCUGAAAAAUCCUAUUACUCUCGUAUCAAAACUAUGAGCUUUAUACCCGUUCAGAGAAUGUGAUUCUCAUAGUAUAGCUUGAGCUUGCAGAUUACACCUUCAGCUAUGUUUUAUUAAAAAUAAGGAUAAGGACAAAAUAUUUGUAAAUACUGAUCCACAAUGCACAAGCAAGCAUGCACACUAAGCAUGAGGUUUUACAUCUUUUCCAGAAUAAUUUAUUUUUAAACUGGAAUUCUGGAUAAUUGCUGUAAACCAUAUAGAUGUCUAAUUUCACUUUGAAACCUUUUAAAUUACUGACUUAAAAAAACGUGAUGCAGUAGCAAAGGAGAAACUUGACUCAGGUUAAAUACACUUGAAUCAGUUUUGAACUUGCCAUGUUUUAAUGUAACCGUUUUGUUCUCACUGCCUUGUGACACAGAAUUUGCCAUUGCUAUCUUAAUGCCAUCUGUUAAUAAUAUUCAUUACAAUACUGCAUAGGGGUCAGCUGGGACUAGGACCCCAAAUGGGCUAGCACAGUGUAUAUAACAAAUAUAAGCUCGUCUGUGCCUCAGGUUCAGUAUAUAAAAAGGUGAAAUGACGUAGCACAGGCAGAAAGAACAAUGAGACGAUGGCAUAUGUUGUAGCAUUUUUAUUUUUGUCUUCAUUUUAAAAUUCCAGUCCUUUUCCUGAGGCUCUGUUAUGAAAGAAUUGAACAGACAACAAGAUGAAGGUAACAAGGACGCAGAACAAGUUAUAGCAAGCAGCCCGUCAAAAGCACAUCUGAGGACAUUCAGAGUGCAAACUUCCAGAAAACAAUUCAGUGGUACUGCCCUGACUUCAGUUUCUAGAUGUGCCUCGCUAUUUCUUACUGCCAGGUCUGUAUAGGCUGUCUUAUUCAGUCCUACGUUUAGUCCUACUGCUACCUGAAAGUCCUGCCUCUACAUAUGCUGGAUGAGGGGGGGUAGCCUUUGAUAUUUAGUAGCUACUAUCUGAAAGGCUAAAAAUUCAGUGAAUUUGUGCUUUCACUAUCUUUGUGAACUAGAAAGCAUUUCUAUUUUAUAGAUGGAAAGCAGAAAGGCAAUAAUUAAGUAUCUGACUCAGGAAAUUGGGUAACAAAUAAUUACAGCUACAGCAUUCUUUCUUUUUAAUCCGUAAACUUCCCUUCCUCAAGUGUACUUUACCACAGCUAAUACAGUAAUAUUUUGUCGUUAUUUUGAAGUAACAAAUGUAUGCACAACCUUACUAGUAAAAUUCCUUCCAAAAAAAAAAAGGCAAAAAACCCUUCCAAAUGAGACAUUUUCAUUGGAUCAAUCUUAAUUAUUUUAAGAAUACUUCAGGUGAGUAUAUAUAUAAAACACAUG
Long non-coding RNA from Cygnus atratus (black swan), 5155 nucleotides. RefSeq lists it as uncharacterized. The record is from RefSeq and is a predicted model, not a curated record. NCBI's taxonomy places the organism in Eukaryota, Metazoa, Chordata, Aves, Anseriformes, Anatidae. The transcript is spliced from 4 exons.